This 318-nucleotide ribosomal RNA is filed under the name uncultured Oscillospiraceae bacterium. RNAcentral describes it as "bacterial SSU rRNA". It matches the Rfam family "Bacterial small subunit ribosomal RNA", at positions 355 to 687 of the family's 1533-position model. The record is from RNAcentral. Lineage: Bacteria; Bacillati; Bacillota; Clostridia; Eubacteriales; Oscillospiraceae.
CGGGGAAUAUUGGGCAAUGGACGAAAGUCUGACCCAGCGACGCCGCGUGAGGGAAGAAGGUCUUCGGAUUGUAAACCUCUGUUGACAGGGAAGAAGAAAGUGACGGUACCUGUCGAGGAAGUCACGGCUAACUACGUGCCAGCAGCCGCGGUAAUACGUAGGUGGCAAGCGUUAUCCGGAUUUACUGGGUGUAAAGGGUGUGUAGGCGGGACGGCAAGUCAGAUGUGAAAAUUAUGGGCUUAACCCAUAACCUGCAUUUGAAACUGUUGUUCUUGAGAGUCGGAGAGGUAGAUGGAAUUCCCGGUGUAGCGGUGAAAU